This is a non-coding RNA of Pelobates cultripes (western spadefoot toad), 229 nucleotides long. NCBI's taxonomy places the organism in Eukaryota, Metazoa, Chordata, Amphibia, Anura, Pelobatidae. The record is from the annotation of a GenBank genome assembly.
CGCCAGCCUCUGCCGGAACUGUUCGUCAUACCUCCACCAGGCCAGCUCGCCAUACGUGCGGUAUGCCUCCCAAAUCCCGUCCAAGUAGCAAAACAGGGAAGAGCACGCCCCCGGCAAUUUCUCCCCUAUCACACAGGCCAGGACGCAGAACGCCCUCAAAAAGUUCCCAAAGGAUUUCGGUAUCUUGCGAUACCGCUUCCGCUUCUCCUCCUCUUCCUUCUUCUCAUCC